GCGCAUUUCGACAACACAUGUCUCUUCAGUAGUAAGUGUCUCUUUAGUUAUACUGAAGGCAAUUUUAAAGUCCUAUACUUAAUACAAAUGUUGAAGAGCUAGUAAAACAAACAAAAACUUAAAGAAUAGCCAAACAUGGACAAGGAAUCUAAGAUAUGAAAAGUUCAUCUCUUAUAUAAAUUCCAAACUUCAACUAAACUAGAUUUAAUAAGAAAUAAACUAUAUUUUUUUUUCUAAACUAGUGUUGUAAUUGAAGCCAUUAAACGGCAUGUCUGCUUUUUCUUCUGUGAUGUCCUCUUUAUCUAUUCUAUUGCUUUUUAAUAUGCUUAUUCAAGGUUUUAAUUUUCAAAUAGGCCACAUAUUUUUAAGCUUGGAUUAUGAUUCCUUUUUUCAAACUGAGCAUUUGGGAAAAAAAGUUUUCCACUAUUGCAACAAUAUUUGUAGGCAGGUGCCCUUUCCUUGUAAUGUGCAAUCAUUUUUUUUGGAGAAAAAAUAC
This 496-nucleotide long non-coding RNA is filed under the name Mytilus galloprovincialis (Mediterranean mussel). Lineage: Eukaryota; Metazoa; Mollusca; Bivalvia; Mytilida; Mytilidae. The record is from RNAcentral.